AGUGAACGCUGGCGGUAGGCCUAACACAUGCAAGUCGACCGGCAGCACAGGAGAGCUUGCUCUCUGGGUGGCGAGUGGCGGACGGGUGAGGAAUACAUCGGAAUCUACUCUGUCGUGGGGGAUAACGUAGGGAAACUUACGCUAAUACCGCAUACGACCUACGGGUGAAAGCAGGGGACCUUCGGGCCUUGCGCGAUUGAAUGAGCCGAUGUCGGAUUAGCUAGUUGGCGGGGUAAAGGCCCACCAAGGCGACGAUCCGUAGCUGGUCUGAGAGGAUGAUCAGCCACACUGGAACUGAGAAACGGUCCAGACUCAUACGGGAGGCAGCAGUGGGGAAUAUUGGACAAUGGGCGCAAGCCUGAUCCAGCCAUACCGCGUGGGUGAAGAAGGCCUUCGGGUUGUAAAGCCCUUUUGUUGGGAAAGAAAUCCAGCUGGCUAAUACCCGGUUGGGAUGACGGUACCCAAAGAAUAAGCACCGGCUAACUUCGUGCCAGCCGCCGCAGUAA
Molecule: ribosomal RNA, 506 nt
Filed under: uncultured bacterium
Lineage: Bacteria
Description: partial 16S ribosomal RNA
Rfam family: Bacterial small subunit ribosomal RNA
Source: RNAcentral